RNAcentral lists this ribosomal RNA (578 nucleotides) under Trigonopterus adspersus. RNAcentral's name for it is "SSU rRNA". It matches the Rfam family "Eukaryotic small subunit ribosomal RNA", at positions 23 to 579 of the family's 1831-position model. The record is from RNAcentral. Lineage: Eukaryota; Metazoa; Arthropoda; Insecta; Coleoptera; Curculionidae.
GUCAUAUGCUUGUCUCAAAGAUUAAGCCAUGCAUGUCUCAGUACAAGCCAAAUUAAGGUGAAACCGCGAAAGGCUCAUUAAAUCAGUUAUGGUUCCUUAGAUCGUACCCACAAUUACUUGGAUAACUGUGGUAAUUCUAGAGCUAAUACAUGCAAACAGAGCUCCGACCGGAGACGGAAGGAGUGCUUUUAUUAGAUCAAAACCAAUCGGUGGCGGGUUCGCUCGUCAUCGUACAACAUGGUGACUCUGAAUAACUUUACGCUGAUCGCACGGUCUUUGCACCGGCGACGCAUCUUUCAAAUGUCUGCCUUAUCAACUGUCGAUGGUAGGUUCUGCGCCUACCAUGGUUGUAACGGGUAACGGGGAAUCAGGGUUCGAUUCCGGAGAGGGAGCCUGAGAAACGGCUACCACAUCCAAGGAAGGCAGCAGGCGCGCAAAUUACCCACUCCCGGCACGGGGAGGUAGUGACGAAAAAUAACGAUACGGGACUCAUCCGAGGCCCCGUAAUCGGAAUGAGUACACUCUAAACCCUUUAACGAGGAUCAAUUGGAGGGCAAGUCUGGUGCCAGCAGCCGCGG